RNAcentral lists this transfer RNA (72 nucleotides) under Paraconexibacter algicola. It matches the Rfam family "tRNA". From Rfam's summary of the family: Transfer RNA (tRNA) molecules are approximately 80 nucleotides in length. Lineage: Bacteria; Bacillati; Actinomycetota; Thermoleophilia; Solirubrobacterales; Paraconexibacteraceae. RNAcentral also lists the same sequence under 1 other name. The record is from Rfam by way of RNAcentral.
GCCCCCGUAGCUCAGCGGCAGAGCAGCGGACUUUUAAUCCGUCGCGCGUCGGUUCGAAUCCGACCGGGGGCA